Molecule: ribosomal RNA, 429 nt
Filed under: Chloroflexota bacterium
Lineage: Bacteria; Bacillati; Chloroflexota
Description: Chloroflexi bacterium partial 16S ribosomal RNA
Rfam family: Bacterial small subunit ribosomal RNA
Source: RNAcentral
UGGGGAAUAUUGCACAAUGGGCGCAAGCCUGAUGCAGCCAUGCCGCGUGUAUGAAGAAGGCCUUCGGGUUGUAAAGUACUUUCAGUCGGGAGGAAGGUGGUAAGGUUAAUAACCUUGGCAAUUGACGUUACCGACAGAAGAAGCACCGGCUAACUCCGUGCCAGCAGCCGCGGUAAUACGGAGGGUGCAAGCGUCAAUCGGAAUUACUGGGCGUAAAGCGCACGCAGGCGGUUGAUUGAGUCAGAUGUGAAAUCCCCGGGCUUAACCCGGGAAUUGCAUCUGAUACUGGUCAGCUAGAGUCUUGUAGAGGGGGGUAGAAUUCCAUGUGUAGCGGUGAAAUGCGUAGAGAUGUGGAGGAAUACCGGUGGCGAAGGCGGCCCCCUGGACAAAGACUGACGCUCAGGUGCGAAAGCGUGGGGAGCAAACAGG